UCGAGUGGCGAACGGGUGAGUAACACGUGAGUAACCUGCCCUUGACUUUGGGAUAACUUCAGGAAACUGGGGCUAAUACCGGAUAGGAGCUCCUGCUGCAUGGUGGGGGUUGGAAAGUUUCGGCGGUUGGGGAUGGACUCGCGGCUUAUCAGCUUGUUGGUGGGGUAGUGGCUUACCAAGGCUUUGACGGGUAGCCGGCCUGAGAGGGUGACCGGCCACAUUGGGACUGAGAUACGGCCCAGACUCCUACGGGAGGCAGCAGUGGGGAAUAUUGCACAAUGGGCGGAAGCCUGAUGCAGCAACGCCGCGUGCGGGAUGACGGCCUUCGGGUUGUAAACCGCUUUCGCCUGUGACGAAGCGUGAGUGACGGUAAUGGGUAAAGAAGCACCGGCUAACUACGUGCCAGCAGCCGCGGUGAUACGUAGGGUGCGAGCGUUGUCCGGAUUUAUUGGGCGUAAAGGGCUCGUAGGUGGUUGAUCGCGUCGGAAGUGUAAUCUUGGGGCUUAACCCUGAGCGUGCUUUCGAUACGGGUUGACUUGAGGAAGGUAGGGGAGAAUGGAAUUCCUGGUGGAGCGGUGGAAUGCGCAGAUAUCAGGAGGAACACCAGUGGCGAAGGCGGUUCUCUGGGCCUUUCCUGACGCUGAGGAGCGAAAGCGUGGGGAGCGAACAGGCUUAGAUACCCUGGUAGUCCACGCUGUAAACGGUGGGUACUAGGUGUGGGGUCCAUUCCACGGGUUCCGUGCCGUAGCUAACGCUUUAAGUACCCCGCCUGGGGAGUACGGCCGCAAGGCUAAAACUCAAAGGAGUUGACGGGGCCCCGCACAAGCGGCGGAGCAUGCGGAUUAAUUCGAUGCAACGCGUAGAACCUUACCUGGGUUUGACAUGGAUCGGGAGUGCUCAGAGAUGGGUGUGCCUCUUUUGGGGUCGGUUCACAGGUGGUGCAUGGCUGUCGUCAGCUCGUGUCGUGAGAUGUUGGGUUAAGUCCCGCAACGAGCGCAACCCUUGUUCACUGUUGCCAGCACGUUAUGGUGGGGACUCAGUGGAGACCGCCGGGGUCAACUCGGAGGAAGGUGGGGAUGACGUCAAGUCAUCAUGCCCCUUAUGUCCAGGGCUUCACGCAUGCUACAAUGGCUGGUACAGAGAGUGGCGAGCCUGUGAGGGUGAGCGAAUCUCGGAAAGCCGGUCUCAGUUCGGAUUGGGGUCUGCAACUCGACCUCAUGAAGUCGGAGUCGCUAGUAAUCGCAGAUCAGCAACGCUGCGGUGAAUACGUUCCCGGGGCUUGUACACACCGCCCGUCAAGUCAUGAAAGUUGGUAACACCCGAAGCCGGUGGCCUAACCGUUGUGGGGGAGCCGUCGAAGGUGGGACUGGUGAUUAGGACUA
RNAcentral lists this ribosomal RNA (1382 nucleotides) under uncultured organism. RNAcentral's name for it is "16S ribosomal RNA". It matches the Rfam family "Bacterial small subunit ribosomal RNA". The record is from RNAcentral.